AUGAAAUCUUUACUCCUCCUCGUGCUGUCUCUGGCUGCUGCCCCGUGUGUCCUUUGCCCGGUGCAGCUGGUCCAGUCCCGGCCCGGGAGCGGUGAAGCCCAGGGAGACCCUCACCCUGAGCUGCGCUGUCUGCGGGGUCUCCAUCACUACCAGCGGUUUAUACUUGGCAUUGGGUCCGGUGAAGGCCUGGAGUGGCUUGGUGUCCUCUCCCAGGUGCAGCUGAUCCAGUCAGGACCGGGAAUGGCGAAGCCUGGAGAGACCCUCGCACUGACGUGCGCUGUCUCCGGGUUCUCCAUCACUACUCGGUAUUACAGCUGGAACUGGAUCUGGCAGCCCCCCGGGAAAGGGCUGGAGUGGAUGGGGUAUGUGUACUCGUAUAGUAGCGGGGAGACAGGCUACGCCCCGUCUCUCCAGGGCCGAAUCACCAUCUCUGCAGACACCGCCAAGAACCAGUUCUCCCUGCAGCUCCGCUCGCUGACAGCUGCAGACACCGGCACCUAUUACUGCGCCAGAGACACAGCUGAGGAUAGUACCGGGUAUAUUUUCCUAUUUAAUUGUGAAGGUAUUUUAAUUUCAUUA
Non-coding RNA from Mauremys mutica (yellowpond turtle), 579 nucleotides. Lineage: Eukaryota; Metazoa; Chordata; Testudines; Geoemydidae. The record is from the annotation of a RefSeq genome assembly.